This 564-nucleotide ribosomal RNA is filed under the name uncultured bacterium. RNAcentral's name for it is "bacterial SSU rRNA". It matches the Rfam family "Bacterial small subunit ribosomal RNA", at positions 338 to 916 of the family's 1533-position model. The record is from RNAcentral.
CCUACGGGAGGCAGCAGUGGGGAAUCUUGCGCAAUGGGCGAAAGCCUGACGCAGCAACGCCGCGUGCGGGAAGAAGGCUUUCGGGCUGUAAACCGCUUUCAGCAGGAACGAAAAUGACGGUACCUGCAGAAGAAGGAGCGGCCAACUAUGUGCCAGCAGCCGCGGUGAUACAUAGGCUUCAAGCGUUGUCCGGAUUUAUUGGGCGUAAAGAGUUCGUAGGCGGUCGAGUAAGUCGGGUGUGAAAAUUCUGGGCUCAACCCAGAGACGCCACCCGAUACUGCUUGACUUGAGUUCGAUAGGGGAGUGGGGAAUUCCUAGUGUAGCGGUGAAAUGCGCAGAUAUUAGGAGGAACACCGGUGGCGAAGGCGCCACUCUGGAUCGAUACUGACGCUGAGGAACGAAAGCAUGGGUAGCAAACAGGAUUAGAUACCCUGGUAGUCCAUGCCCGUAAACGGUGGGCACUAGGUGUGGGUUUCUAUUAACGAAAUCCGCGCCGUCGCUAACGCAUUAAGUGCCCCGCCUGGGGGAGGUACGGUCGCAGACUAAACUACAAGAAGUAGACGG